Molecule: ribosomal RNA, 253 nt
Filed under: uncultured bacterium
Lineage: Bacteria
Description: partial 16S ribosomal RNA
Rfam family: Bacterial small subunit ribosomal RNA
Source: RNAcentral
UACGAAGGGGGCUAGCGUUGCUCGGAAUCACUGGGCGUAAAGGGCGUGCAGGCGGUUGGUUAAGUCCAGGGUGAAAGCUCCCGGCUCAACUGGGAGAGGUCCUUGGAUACUGGCCGACUUGAGGGAGGCAGAGGAGAGUGGAAUUCCCGGUGUAGUGGUGAUAUGCGUAGAUAUCAGGAGGAAUACCGGUGGCGAAGGCGGCAUCCUGGACCGACAUUGACGCUGAACGGCGAAAGCUAGGGGAGCAAACGGG